This 373-nucleotide ribosomal RNA is filed under the name uncultured bacterium. Its description in RNAcentral is "bacterial SSU rRNA". It matches the Rfam family "Bacterial small subunit ribosomal RNA", at positions 28 to 403 of the family's 1533-position model. The record is from RNAcentral.
GACGAACGCUGGCGGCGUGCUUAACACAUGCAAGUCGAGCGGUAAGGCCCUUUCGGGGGUACACGAGCGGCGAACGGGUGAGUAACACGUGGGUGACCUGCCCUCAGCUCUGGGAUAAGCCCGGGAAACUGGGUCUAAUACCGGAUAUGACUUCAUGACGCAUGUUGUGGAGUGGAAAGCCUUGUGCGGCUGAGGAUGGGCCCGCGGCCUAUCAGCUUGUUGGUGGGGUGAGGCCUACCAAGGCGACGACGGGUAGCCGGCCUGAGAGGGCGACCGGCCACACUGGGACUGAGAUACGGGCCCAGACUCCACGGGAGGCAGCAGUGGGGAAUCUUGCGCAAUGGGCGAAAGCCUGACGCAGCGACGCCGCGUG